Canis lupus familiaris (dog) is the source of this 940-nucleotide long non-coding RNA. RefSeq lists it as uncharacterized. The transcript is spliced from 3 exons. The record is from RefSeq and is a predicted model, not a curated record. NCBI's taxonomy places the organism in Eukaryota, Metazoa, Chordata, Mammalia, Carnivora, Canidae.
CACUGCAUGACCAAAUCGCAAUAAGGAUUUUAAAAAGGGAUCAUUCUAAACUUAGGUUUUCAUUCAAAAACGAGUCUUCUAUAACUUUGAGUGUUUUGUGUGCUUUUUCUCAGAUGUGAAGCCUAUCUAACUUUCAUAUAUCGGGUCUUUUCAAAAUAUCUGAUGUAACUGCCUAUUUUUGUCCUUUUGACCCUCCUUGAACUCUGUGAUUAAGCAUUCAUAACUGUUCCUGCCUGAAUUCUGCAAUGAACGGAGGACAAGUGUGUGUUCCAUGUUGGAGAUACUGAUUCAUUCAGCACAUUUUAUUUCUGAUCAGCUGACACGACGAUGGAGUCUCAAAGUCAACCAUCUUUUGUUAUGGGAGCGGGUUACAGGACAUACCCCCUGCAUCACCCUUGACCACUAUUGGUGGGGUAGUUAGUCUUAUUACUACAAUUGUUCCUGGAGCUGGAUAAUAGCAUUCUUCUUUGGCCAUCUGAUUAUAGCAAGUGUCCUUCAGACAAGAGCUCUUAGAGUCACUCAGGGCUCCCAACCUGUGCUACACAGAAGCCAGAACCGACAUAGUGAGACUCAAGCCCACACCAGAGAUCACAGCAUUAGUCUGUCUGGGGACCAAAGUCCCCAGGAGAAGACAGACACUGCAGUUGGGCAGGACAUCGCAGCACCUCAAGACCACCUCCCACUAGCUGAGGGCAAAGACUUCUCUUUGGGAAAAACUGCUUUUUCACUACACAGACACAUCCCUGCUGUGUAGCCUGAACUUCGUUCCGUCUAGUGGACGUUUUUGUUGCUGUUCUCAUUUACCAUGUUGACUUUUUGCAGUUUUCAUUUCUUGUUUUCUAAAUAUCGAUGAUUUUGAGAUAAUCGAUAGGGCCCCCCUUUCACAGAAUGUGGCAAAUGCUGGGUCUCCCUUCUAACCACUAUAGACCAAGACAGGCAA